CCUCUCCAUUCUUCCUCCAGACUCUGGGUCCUUGGUUUCCAAAUGAGAUGCAAAAGUUGCUCUCAUCAGAAAAGAGAACUUUUGACCACUGAGCAACAGACCAGGUCUGUUUUUGUUUAGCCCAGGUAAGACGCUUCUGAUGUUGUUUGUUGUUCAGGAGUGGCUUGACAAGAGGAAUACGACAUCUGAAGCCCAUGUCCAGGAUCGGUCUGUGUGUGGUGGCUCUUGAUGCACUGAUUCCAGCCUCAGUCCACUCCUUGUGAAAGUCCCCAACACUUUUGAAUGGCCUUUUCCUGACAAUCCUCUCCAGGCUGUGAUCAUGCCUGCUGCUU
Molecule: non-coding RNA, 332 nt
Organism: Pelobates cultripes (western spadefoot toad)
Lineage: Eukaryota; Metazoa; Chordata; Amphibia; Anura; Pelobatidae
Source: the annotation of a GenBank genome assembly